This 588-nucleotide ribosomal RNA is filed under the name Streptomyces sp. RNAcentral's name for it is "bacterial SSU rRNA". It matches the Rfam family "Bacterial small subunit ribosomal RNA", at positions 67 to 672 of the family's 1533-position model. The record is from RNAcentral. Lineage: Bacteria; Bacillati; Actinomycetota; Actinomycetes; Kitasatosporales; Streptomycetaceae.
CGAUGAAGCCCUUCGGGGUGGAUUAGUGGCGAACGGGUGAGUAACACGUGGGCAAUCUGCCCUUCACUCUGGGACAAGCCCUGGAAACGGGGUCUAAUACCGGAUAACACUCCUGCCUGCAUGGGCGGGGGUUAAAAGCUCCGGCGGUGAAGGAUGAGCCCGCGGCCUAUCAGCUUGUUGGUGGGGUAAUGGCCCACCAAGGCGACGACGGGUAGCCGGCCUGAGAGGGCGACCGGCCACACUGGGACUGAGACACGGCCCAGACUCCUACGGGAGGCAGCAGUGGGGAAUAUUGCACAAUGGGCGAAAGCCUGAUGCAGCGACGCCGCGUGAGGGAUGACGGCCUUCGGGUUGUAAACCUCUUUCAGCAGGGAAGAAGCGAAAGUGACGGUACCUGCAGAAGAAGCGCCGGCUAACUACGUGCCAGCAGCCGCGGUAAUACGUAGGGCGCAAGCGUUGUCCGGAAUUAUUGGGCGUAAAGAGCUCGUAGGCGGCUUGUCACGUCGGAUGUGAAAGCCCGAGGCUUAACCUCGGGUCUGCAUUCGAUACGGGCUAGCUAGAGUGUGGUAGGGGAGAUCGGAAUUCCGG